GAACGCUGGUCUCAUGCCUAAGAGAAAAAAGUCGAACGAAGGCUUCGGCCUUAGUGGCACACGGGUUUUUACACCGUGGGAAUCUGCCCUUGGGUUCGGAAUAACAGUGAGAAAUUACUGCUAAUACCGGAUGAUGACGUAAGUCCAAAGAUUUAUCGCCCAAGGAUGAGCCCGCGUAGGAUUAGCUAGUUGGUGGGGUAAAGGCCCACCAAGGCGACGAUCCUUAGCUGGUCUGAGAGGAUGAUCAGCCACACUGGGACUGAGACACGGCCCAGACUCCUACGGGAGGCAGCAGUGGG
RNAcentral lists this ribosomal RNA (299 nucleotides) under uncultured Sphingomonadales bacterium. RNAcentral describes it as "partial 16S ribosomal RNA". It matches the Rfam family "Bacterial small subunit ribosomal RNA", at positions 31 to 358 of the family's 1533-position model. The record is from RNAcentral. Lineage: Bacteria; Pseudomonadati; Pseudomonadota; Alphaproteobacteria; Sphingomonadales.